RNAcentral lists this long non-coding RNA (1838 nucleotides) under Pan troglodytes (chimpanzee). RNAcentral describes it as "long non-coding RNA NONPTRT007712". Lineage: Eukaryota; Metazoa; Chordata; Mammalia; Primates; Hominidae. The record is from RNAcentral.
AUUCAACAGUUUUAUUUGCUGUUGGGGAAUGAAGGGAACAGGAAGGAAUGACAUGGAGGGGAAGGAAGCUCCUUACUCCCGUCACUAAGCUGCUGCUUGAAUUUCUCCAUCCUCCAAGACUGUCAAGAAUCUGACAGCUCUGCUAACGAAAGCUGCAGACCCUCGGUUCGGUUCCAUCGCCCUUUCUCUGGGCUGGUGUGUGAAGCUCCGGAUCUGUGACCUCACUAGAAUCAGUGUGCGCAAGAGGAUCAGCAAUGCAGGGCAAAGAUGACUGGUGAGACACACGUCUACACAAACGCAUACAGGUAUACAAAAAGCAACAAGAGUUUAAUUCUCUUUUUACAUGGCCACAGGCUCUCUUCAGUCAGGGGAACUUCAGCUGGUGCCUCUCUCUUGCAGCUAUGAGGCGACAGUGUGGUGACAUGCCUCAUACAGACUGUCCCAGUAAGCCAGGACAAGUCACCAUUAAAAUCUUGCACGAACAGCCCUGGGCACGUGGGAAUGGUAAGAAAGAGCCACCGCCUCCUUAGUCAGCUUAACCACAGCUCCAAACGCAGUUUGUCCCAGCUGGCAAACGCCUCAAACACCAAUCAUGCGUCGUGCUCCUAUUCUGGGUUUUUAUAAAACACUUUUAUAUAGAGAUAUAGAUAGCACAGUAAAUGUGCUUAUGAUGCACUCUAACAUAGAGGACAGGAAUACACACUGUGGGGCGCCGCCCCAGCCGUCUCCACAGUGGAGAAAGUGCGAGGGUUAAAUACACGUGGCGGGGUGGCAGACGGCAGGAAGUUAGAGAGCGCCACGCUCCACGUCCUUCCACGCGACUGACUCAUCCAACACUCAGAACUCACCUUCUUUAUCCCCUUGGUGGGUAGGAGCAGUAACAAAACAAUGUCAGUCAUUUUCUAAGGGUGGAGGAUGUCAAACUGUCUGGUACCGAGAGAGCAAUUCUUAUCCAGAAAUCAUCUAGAAAUAAUUGUUGAAGGUCAGCCUGGCCCAUGGCCCCAGGCUAAGGGCUGCUCUGUAAAGGGCGGGACUGGCUCUGGGGGUCUAGGGCUGAUGCAGUAUCUCUCAGACACUUGCACAUUCACACACCCACACGCCCCAGGGGAAAGUGCACUUCCAAUGCUGAUACAAAAAUAGAUUGGCACACUCUUUGACACAGUGAGGGUAUCUUUUAAAAGUUUUCCCCCAAUUUCUGCAGACUCUCUUCCCCCGUAUGCUCAAGCCCCUCACACUCCAAGUUGGAACAGAUCUGGAGAAGGCCCUGGACCACGCUUGCAAAGUUUGUGAAUGCCGGGGAGAAAGACUGGGCUGGCGUAGCUAGGGAUUCUCGCUAGUGGACAGAGGGUAGGGCCUCUCUGUUCUCAGCACGCACCUCCUCUUCCCUUGCUUGAGGAGUCCAUAGCUCAUGGCUCCUCUUGGCUACACACCCAAGACUCCUUGGAAAGUUUCUAGUACUGCUUCUCCCCAAACUAUGUCGAGAGGAAGAAAAGUCUGGUAUUCUGAGUUCUACUUUUUUUCAUUUCCAGUAGUAAGUAAGUGCUGCUCCACCAAGCUGAGAAGAAAUGGCCCUUGGCUGUCCUCGGGGCCAGUGCUAGGAACUCUGGACCAGCCGUCUGUAGUGGGGCAUGACUUCGUGCUCGGGCAAGUGGAGGGCGAAUUCCAAGGCCACUAACACCGGGAAUUCAAAGGCAAUCAGUUCUCGCCUGUUCAGCCGGAACUUCUCUUCCAGUUUCUGCAACAAAAAGAAAAUCAAAAGCAUGUUCAUUUUGAAAUUAAAAUCCUAGUCUUUCUGCAAUUGCAGCUUCUCUAUCCACCAGCCAGUGAGUGCUUAGGAG